This 433-nucleotide ribosomal RNA is filed under the name uncultured bacterium. Its description in RNAcentral is "partial 16S ribosomal RNA". It matches the Rfam family "Bacterial small subunit ribosomal RNA", at positions 29 to 507 of the family's 1533-position model. The record is from RNAcentral.
AACGAACGCUGGCGGCAUGCCUAACACAUGCAAGUCGAACGAGACCUUCGGGUCUAGUGGCGCACGGGUGCGUAACGCGUGGGAACCUGCCCUUAGGUUCGGAAUAACUCCCCGAAAGGGGUGCUAAUACCGGAUAAUGUCUUCGGACCAAGGAUUUAUCGCCUUUGGAUGGGCCCGCGUUGUAUUAGCUAGUUGGUAGGGUAAAAGCCUACCAAGGCGACGAUCCAUAGCUGGUCUGAGAGGAUGAUCAGCCACACUGGGACUGAGACACGGCCCAGACUCCUACGGGAGGCAGCAGUGGGGAAUAUUGGAAAAUCGGCGAAAGCCUGAUCCCGCAAUGCCGCGUGAGUGAUGAAGGCCUUAGGGUUGUAAAGCUCUUUUACCCGGGAUGAUAAUGACAGUACCGGGAGAAUAAGCACCGGCUAACUCCGUG